This 520-nucleotide unclassified non-coding RNA is filed under the name uncultured Glomus. Its description in RNAcentral is "SSU rRNA". It matches the Rfam family "Eukaryotic small subunit ribosomal RNA", at positions 569 to 1089 of the family's 1831-position model. The record is from RNAcentral. Lineage: Eukaryota; Fungi; Glomeromycota; Glomeromycetes; Glomerales; Glomeraceae.
AGCAGCCGCGGUAAUUCCAGCUCCAAUAGCGUAUAUUAAAGUUGUUGCAGUUAAAAAGCUCGUAGUUGAAUUUCGGGAUCAAUUUGCUGGUCGUGCCUCUGGUACGUACUGGUAUUAUUGGUUUCUCCCUUCUGACGAACCAUGAUGUCAUUAAUUUGAUGUCGUGGAGAAUCAGGACUGUUACUUUGAAAAAAUUAGAGUGUUUAAAGCAGGCAUUAGCUUGAAUACAUUAGCAUGGAAUAAUGAAAUAGGACGUUUGAUCCUAUUUUGUUGGUUUCUAGGAUUGACGUAAUGAUUAAUAGGGAUAGUUGGGGGCAUUAGUAUUCAAUUGUCAGAGGUGAAAUUCUUGGAUUUAUUGAAGACUAACUACUGCGAAAGCAUUUUGCCAAGGAUGUUUUCAUUAAUCAAGAACGAAAGUUAGGGGAUCGAAGACGAUCAGAUACCGUCGUAGUCUUAACCAUAAACUAUGCCGACUAGGGAUCGGAUGAUGUUAAUUUUUUAAUGACUCAUUCGGCGCCUU